GGUCUGUAGUCUUGGAGCGGUGCUGGGUUGGUGGUACCCUAGAGCACACCAGACUUGCAGAGAAAGCAUUCUCCAGAGGAAGCUGAGGCAUGGCUGCUCAAGGGACAGCAGUACCAUGUGCAAUUUUCCUCUGAUAGUUUCCGAGUACUGUUGCCACGGUGAUAAUGGCUGUGCCAUGUCAUUAUCUAUCAACCGACAGUAAAAGAAGGUUUUGCAGUCAGAUGUUGUUUAACAGAUGGAGUGGUUUCUGUUGGACACUAAGUACUGCUACAAAU
Balaenoptera musculus (blue whale) is the source of this 275-nucleotide non-coding RNA. The record is from Ensembl. Lineage: Eukaryota; Metazoa; Chordata; Mammalia; Artiodactyla; Balaenopteridae.